GAUGAACGCUCGCGGCAGGCCUAACACAUGCAAGUCGAGGGGUAGAAGGAGCUUGCUCCUUUGAGACCGGCGUACGGGUGCGUAACGCGUAUGCAAUCUACCUUGUACAGGGGAAUAGCCCAGAGAAAUUUGGAUUAAUGCCCCAUAGUAUAUAACCUUCGCAUGUUGGUUAUAUUAAAGUUCCAACGGUACAAGAUGAGCAUGCGUCCCAUUAGUUAGUUGGUAAGGUAACGGCUUACCAAGACGAUGAUGGGUAGGGGUCCUGAGAGGGAGAUCCCCCACACUGGUACUGAGACACGGACCAGACUCCUACGGGAGGCAGCAGUGAGGAAUAUUGGUCAAUGGUCGCAAGACUGAACCAGCCAUGCCGCGUGCAGGAAGACGGUCCUAUGGAUUGUAAACUGCUUUUAUACAGGAAGAAACCCUCCCACGUGUGGGAGCUUGACGGUACUGUAGGAAUAAGGAUCGGCUAACUCCGUG
This 480-nucleotide ribosomal RNA is filed under the name uncultured bacterium. RNAcentral's name for it is "partial 16S ribosomal RNA". It matches the Rfam family "Bacterial small subunit ribosomal RNA", at positions 28 to 507 of the family's 1533-position model. The record is from RNAcentral.